GAGAAAACACAACCCAUCUAGCAAGUCCUCUGUGUUACUGUUUUGCCUCGCGUCUUUAACAUCCGGGACAGUUUCAGAACUGGAUGCAUGAGUGGCGUCCGUGGCCCGUAGCUGGAGGUAGAAGAGAGUUGGGGGUUCUCUGUUGAGCACUGGACCUCAAUGGAAGCAGAGCAGCAGAUCAUCCCGGAGCAGUUCUUAGCCGUGACCUGAUAAACAGCAGCAUCGUCUGUGGUACAGCUGGGAGGACAGGAAGACAGGUGAGUUUGCCACGCCUGCACGUGCAUGCCCGCAUUCCCCAUGCGGUGGCCUGCAACCAAAACGACCAUUCUUUUACUGCAUCCGGCUAAGGGUAUGCAGGUCCCAGGCCACAGUGGAGAGAACUCUGGGAAGCCCCCACCUUCCCCUUUGCAGCUGCCCACAACCUUCCUCCAAACUGGCAAUGUUGAGAUGUGUUUCGAUGAAUGGGGGAAAUGUUUUCUAUUCUGUUGUUUUAAGUCAUCGUUACGCUAUGGUCAUUCUUUUUCUGGAGUGAGAUGUUGUGCACAAAUCACUAAUGCAUUCUGCUUCCUGCUGUGGAACCGCCUGAGCAAUAGUUCUUCUGAAGACCACGCUGGGAAGGCAUGGCUCAUGCCAGGGCACUGCAAAGAUAAUACCAUAAUAGGAUUAUGUGUCCAGAGGACAGUGCCAUUUCCUCUUUAAUCUAGCAUGACCUAAAGGUCUAAACCCCCACCGUGAUCCCCACUGGCUGCAAACUGACGUCCACAUGCUGUGCUGCCCAGCACAGAUCAGGCCAGGUGUUGGGCUUUGGCCCAGCAUGGGAGGGACAGAAUCCUGGACCAGACUGAGCCUGCUCACCCUGUUCCAGGACAACCAGGGCUCCCGUAGCUCCUCCUUUGUCGACUGGAGACACCCAGAACCCAGGGCAGGCUUCCUUGCUCUCAGGGCCCCUUCCCCAGGUUCUGCAGUCCCAGUAAAGGCUUGCUACCCUUGCUGGGUAAGUUGCAGUCUCUCUCAUCUGAGAUUCGCUGACCCCACUCCGGGCAUCAUUGAGCUCCGAAGUCCAUGGUGAUUUCCAGAAGGCAGGAGCUGCAGGUCUGGCUUGGACUGAGGUGUAACGCUUUGAUCUUUAUUGACUCCUCACUGUGAACCGUGCACAGAGGUCUACUUAGGAGUCUGCCCUAGACUCAGGCAGCCAGAUCCGUCUGUCUUAGCCUUCCUCUUCCUCACUGCGGGGAGGCCUGUGCCUCCUCCAGCCAAUAGGUGCUCCUAAGUCCUGAAUCACUGGGUACUCACUCCAGAAGUCAGAGCCUAAUUCCUUGAUGCCUAGUUGAGCUGAGAACCUGGCUCCCCGGCAGAAGCCCUUUGCGGUGGCUGAGGUUGGCCAACCUGGUCUGUAACUGCUCCCUGACUUCACCUCGGCUGGUGGCAAGGAAGAAUGAGUAAGCUUUUGGGAGGAAACAGUACCUGCUCCAGUCUAUCUCACAGUCAUUCAGAGGCCCAGAUGACACAUCAUGGCAAAGGGGCUGUGCACGGCGGAUACUUCCUGCUACCUGUGUUGUGCGGGAAUGCGGAAGUACCAAGACCAAGUACCACAGCUUCUCAAGAAGCCUGCAGAGAGCUCUGUUGAAACUUCUUGACUCAGAAUCGCAGGUUGUAGGGCCUGAGAACCUGCUUUUAAAAUCCCAUGGCCAUUCUGAUAGAAGCCGCCCCGGCCCCUCAGUGGCGAUGUCCACACCCCCCUUCUCUUUACUCGGGCUUCAGUCUCUUCGCUUCAAGCUGAAUCUUUUCAGUCAAGACACCUGCCUUCGCUGCUGUCUCACACUACCCACAUCAUUCUCUGCAUGAACAAUUCAGUUAAUUCUUGGAGGUUUGGCCUCAGCAAAGAGCUCCCAGGGAGCCUAAAGAGGGCAUUGUGGUCUCCUGGGAAAUCCCAAGUGGUCAGAUUGGCUGACCACAAGCCCUCUGCCAGAGGCACCACCUACCCUGAGGUGUGUCACCCCAACUUGUGGGCGAAGAAGAGAGAGAAAGAGAGGAAGAUGAGGCUGGAAGGCACAGAAAUCCAGGGAAGAAAGUAGUAGAGGAGGGAGGCGGAGGUCGUUCCCAAGAAUCCAGAAGAGAACGCGGAGAGAAUCUUGGAAAAACAUGAAGGAAAUAAUUGGGCUCAGUACAAGUAUAUUUAAUUUCUUAAUGACUAAAUAAGCAGGUGGGAGGUUGUCAUAAUUUGAUGAUAUAUAAUUUUAUGGGACAUGUAUUUCAAUUGAUACAAAAUUUACAAUCCAUCUUAAGACCACUCAGGAAAGAGGACAAGGAGCUAGAUUAAGUAUAAUUCACAUCUUACUGGCUAAUGAAUGCCUUCGAGUUAUGCCUUGAGACUGACAUAUCCUUGGUGAUUACCUCAGCAUCCCUAAGAAGACAGGGAGAAAAUUGGGCAAGGAAGCUGGCAAGUGUUGAACACUUGUCUGCCCACUACAUGCAAAAUCGCAGCUCAAGGAGUUGAGUGAUUUCUGCAAGAUGACGAAGCGGGUAAGCACAGAGCUGGGACAGGAAACCAGAGCUUGUGGCUUGGAAGCUGGGCUCUGUGCAUGCUCCCGGAGAGCUGACCCAGAGAACGGACAUGACAGGCUAUAAAUGGGUUGUUUUGCAAAUGCAGUGUUUCUGCCCUAAGUGGUCAUUUUGAUCAGUCAGUUGGGAAGCUUGUGUAGAAUGUAUGCUGGAGCCCAACAUUAUGGAAAAGUGCAAAAGGUGGCAAGGAGAUGCUAAACACACGGUCCAACCCUAACGCGACGAAAAAUCUACAGAAGGAAGUAGUGUUCAUUUCUUAAAGAACCUGCAACUCUGUGCUGAGCUGUGCAGCACAAACCGGCAGGAAAAGGGAGUCCACUGGAGGCCUUUGGCGGUAGCGCUGAAAGUGCCCUGCGUGGAUGGAGGUGUAUGGUCUGUGCAAGAUGCUGACAGAGCAAAAGAAAGAAAACCAGGACUCCAGUCACAGAGGAAAAUCGGCACCCUGGCACCUCUGAGGAGCUCUGUCAAAGCCCCUUCCCAUGAGUCUUCAUCUCCGGCCUGUCUGGUGGCUCCCAGGAAGACCCUACCCACAAGACACUUCCUGUCGUCUGGGAGGUCACCCCCUGUGGCUAAAAAAAAAGUCCACAAGGGUCGGUGUAUGGCUCACUAGUUAAUCCUCCACCUGCGACACCAGCAUCCCAUAUGGGCGCUGGGUUCUAGUCCUGGUUGCCCCUCUUCCAGUCCAGCUUUCUGCUGUGGCCCGGGAGUGCAGUGGAGGCUGGCCCAAGUGCUUGGGCCCUGCACCCCAUGGGAGACCAGGAGAAGCACCUAGCUCCUGGCUUCGGAUCGGUGUAGGUCCGACCGUAGCGGCCAUUUGAGGAGUGAACCAAAGGAAGGACGACCUUUCUCUCUCUCUCUCUCUCACUGUCUAACUCUGCCUGU
Molecule: non-coding RNA, 3444 nt
Organism: Oryctolagus cuniculus (rabbit)
Lineage: Eukaryota; Metazoa; Chordata; Mammalia; Lagomorpha; Leporidae
Source: RefSeq, a predicted model, not a curated record